AUUGAACGCUGGCGGCAUGCCUUACACAUGCAAGUCGAACGGUAACGGGCCUUCGGGUUCCGACGAGUGGCGGACGGGUGCGUAAUACAUCGGAACGUGCCCGAACGUGGGGGAUAACGAGGCGAAAGCUUUGCUAAUACCGCAUACGAUCUACGGAUGAAAGCGGGGGACCGCAGGGCCUUGCGCGGCCGGAGCGGCCGAUGGCAGAUUAGGUAGUUGGUGGGAUAAAAGCCUACCAAGCCGACGAUCUGUAGCUGGUCUGAGAGGAUGAUCAGCCACACUGGGACUGAGACACGGCCCAGACUCCUACGGGAGGCAGCAGUGGGGAAUUUUGGACAAUGGGCGCAAGCCUGAUCCAGCCAUGCCGCGUGCAGGAUGAAGGCCUUCGGGUUGUAAACUGCUUUUGUACGGAACGAAAAGCAUUCUUUUAAUACAGGAGGGUCAUGACGGUACCGUAAGAAUAAGCACCGGCUAACUACGUG
RNAcentral lists this ribosomal RNA (482 nucleotides) under uncultured bacterium. RNAcentral describes it as "partial 16S ribosomal RNA". It matches the Rfam family "Bacterial small subunit ribosomal RNA", at positions 30 to 507 of the family's 1533-position model. The record is from RNAcentral.